Molecule: long non-coding RNA, 226 nt
Filed under: Mytilus galloprovincialis (Mediterranean mussel)
Lineage: Eukaryota; Metazoa; Mollusca; Bivalvia; Mytilida; Mytilidae
Source: RNAcentral
UGUUGCUUUCUGUGUAUAUUUUAAUCUGUAUAAGUCACAUAUGGUUUUACUAGCAGUACAAACUAACUCUCACUAUAACCUAACUGUCACUGUGUAUAUGCAAGUGUGUAUGAAAAUAAAAAAAAAUAAUGAAAUGACAAAGUCAAAACGUCAAGUGCUAUGACCAAGUACUGAUGCACCAAAUUGGUUUUUUUUUUAAGUCAAUGUAUACUAAGUGUAAGUAUUG